Ovis aries (sheep) is the source of this 73-nucleotide non-coding RNA. Lineage: Eukaryota; Metazoa; Chordata; Mammalia; Artiodactyla; Bovidae. The record is from Rfam.
UCCCUGGUGGCUCAGCUGGUAAAGAACCCGCCUGCAAUGCGGGAGACCCCAGUUCUAUUUCUGGGUCGGGAAG